Molecule: ribosomal RNA, 253 nt
Filed under: uncultured bacterium
Lineage: Bacteria
Description: partial 16S ribosomal RNA
Rfam family: Bacterial small subunit ribosomal RNA
Source: RNAcentral
UACGUAGGAGGCAAGCGUUAUCCGGAAUGACUGGGCGUAAAGGGUGCGUAGGUGGUUUGACAAGUUGGUAGCGUAACUCCGAGGCUCAACCUCGGCACUACUACCAAAACUGUUGAACUUGAGUGCAGGAGGGGCAACUGGAAUUCCUAGUGUAGCGGUGGAAUGCGUAGAUAUUAGGAGGAACACCAGUGGCGAAGGCGAGUUGCUGGACUGUAACUGACACUGAGGCACGAAAGCGUGGGGAGCAAACAGG